ACGAACGAGACUGAAACCUAUUAAUUAAUUAUUUAUCCAUUGAGGUGAAUAUAUUUUUUAUUAAAUACGUGUUUACACGAUUACUUAAAGGGACACAUUUCAAUUGUUUUUUAUUAAUUUCAUGAUAAAGUAUUACUUUAACUGAUUUUAAUGAGAAAAAAAGGAAAUGGGAGCAUUCAGCAAUAACAGGUCUGUGAUGCCCUUAAACAUCUUGGGCUGCACGCGCGCUACAAUGAAGUUUCUAUAGAGUAGUGUAUUGGAAGGUGGUGUUAUAUGAGACUUUGUUUUAUAUAAUA
RNAcentral lists this ribosomal RNA (296 nucleotides) under Entamoeba terrapinae. Its description in RNAcentral is "partial small subunit ribosomal RNA". The stretch from base 1 to 231 matches the Rfam family "Eukaryotic small subunit ribosomal RNA", at positions 1331 to 1501 of the family's 1831-position model. The record is from RNAcentral. Lineage: Eukaryota; Evosea; Mastigamoebida; Endamoebidae.